GGAGUUAGCCGGUGCUUCUUCUGUGAGUGAUGUCCUUCCUGCCGGCUAUUAACCCGCAGGCCUUCUUCCUCACUGAAAGUGCUUUACAACCCGAAGGCCUUCUUCACACACGCGGCAUGGCUGGAUCAGGGUUGCCCCCAUUGUCCAAUAUUCCCCACUGCUGCCUCCCGUAGGAGUCUGGGCCGUGUCUCAGUCCCAGUGUGGCUGAUCAUCCUCUCAGACCAGAUACGGAUCGUCGCCUUGGUGAGCCGUUACCUCACCAACCAGCUAAUCCGACAUAGGCUCAUCCGAUAGCGCGAGGCCCGAAGGUCCCCCGCUUUCCCCCGUAGGGCGUAUGCGGUAUUAGCCUGGGUUUCCCCAGGUUAUCCCCCACUACCGGGCAGAUUCCUAUGCAUUACUCACCCGUCCGCCGCUCGCCACCAGGGAGCAAGCUCCCCGUGCUGCCGCUCGACUUGCAUGUGUUAGCCGUGCCGCCACGCGUUCAAUCUGAGCGAGAAUACAACUACUGA
RNAcentral lists this ribosomal RNA (509 nucleotides) under uncultured bacterium. RNAcentral's name for it is "partial 16S ribosomal RNA". The record is from RNAcentral.